RNAcentral lists this ribosomal RNA (335 nucleotides) under uncultured Pseudomonas sp. Its description in RNAcentral is "bacterial SSU rRNA". It matches the Rfam family "Bacterial small subunit ribosomal RNA", at positions 1047 to 1382 of the family's 1533-position model. Lineage: Bacteria; Pseudomonadati; Pseudomonadota; Gammaproteobacteria; Pseudomonadales; Pseudomonadaceae. The record is from RNAcentral.
CGUCGUCGUCAGCUCGUGUCGUGAGAUGUUGGGUUAAGUCCGUAACGAGCGCAACCCUUGUCCUUAGUUACCAGCACGUUAUGGUGGGCACUCUAAGGAGACUGCCGGUGACAAACCGGAGGAAGGUGGGGAUGACGUCAAGUCAUCAUGGCCCUUACGGCCUGGGCUACACACGUGCUACAAUGGUCGGUACAAAGGGUUGCCAAGCCGCGAGGUGGAGCUAAUCCCAUAAAACCGAUCGUAGUCCGGAUCGCAGUCUGCAACUCGACUGCGUGAAGUCGGAAUCGCUAGUAAUCGUGAAUCAGAAUGUCACGGUGAAUACGUUCCCGGGCCUU